UACGAGGGGUGCAAGCGUUGCUCGGAAUUAUUGGGCGUAAAGGGUAGGUAGGUGGUCUCGUUUGUCUGGGGUGAAAGCCUUGAGCUUAACUCAAGAAGUGCCCUAGAAACGGCGAGACUAGAGUCCUGGAGAGGGUCGUGGAAUUCCCGGUGUAGCGGUGAAAUGCGUAGAGAUUGGGUGGAACACCAGUGGCGAAGGCGCCUAUCUGGCUGACAACUGACGCUGAGACUCGAAAGCAUGGGGAGCAAACAGGA
Molecule: ribosomal RNA, 254 nt
Filed under: uncultured bacterium
Lineage: Bacteria
Description: partial 16S ribosomal RNA
Rfam family: Bacterial small subunit ribosomal RNA
Source: RNAcentral